UGAAGUGAUGACUGCGCAAGUCCUGAUCCCACGUCGUGUACGUGGAUGGGCCGUGCGUACGGAGGGAACAUGCGGGUUGUGCGCACGCCCUGCGGCCACUGUACGUGCAUGCGCGCGUGCAUAGUGCCUAGCACCCGUGCAGACAAACUACUUUCUCAUUUUUUAAAAUUUUAAAAUUAAUCCCGAACUAAAUUUCAGGCUCGAUUAUUACAAUCAGGACCACUUUUAAAGUGUGGGGGGUUAAGUUUCCUAAACUCUGUU
RNAcentral lists this long non-coding RNA (261 nucleotides) under Carica papaya (papaya). RNAcentral's name for it is "long non-coding RNA (CPAP_LNC000872)". Lineage: Eukaryota; Viridiplantae; Streptophyta; Magnoliopsida; Brassicales; Caricaceae. The record is from RNAcentral.